Molecule: ribosomal RNA, 253 nt
Filed under: uncultured bacterium
Lineage: Bacteria
Description: partial 16S ribosomal RNA
Rfam family: Bacterial small subunit ribosomal RNA
Source: RNAcentral
UACGAGGGGGGCAAGCGUUGUUCGGAAUUAUUGGGCGUAAAGGGUGCGUAGGCGGUUUGGUAAGUCUUAUGUGAAAUCUACAGGCUCAACUUGUAGUCUGCAUGAGAAACUGCCGGGCUUGAGUAUGGGAGAGGUGAGUGGAAUUCCUGGUGUAGCGGUGAAAUGCGUAGAUAUCAGGAGGAACACCAAUUGCGAAGGCAGCUCGCUGGGACGUUACUGACGCUGAGACGCGAAAGCGUGGGGAGCAAACAGG